GUGAAAGUGGGCUACUCAUGACUGCAGCGACGUUACCAAAGGAGACGGCAAAAUGAUUGACGUUCACUCAAAGCUGAGCCAUCAGACUAGGAAGAAAGAAAGAAAAGUAUGCUUUUCUUGCCAUGUGACCUAAUUAACAACUCUCCAAUUAUCUCAUCCGGAAAAAAAUAGCAGAGGCUGAGAGAAGUGGCGAUGGCAUGGACCGCCAAAGUAGUUUUCUCUUCCCAUUCAGCAUAACAGGUGGCACUGGCUCCGGAUUGCUCAUAUAUCCUUGCAAUGUGGUUGGAACCCAUAGGCCAUGGUAGACAAAUCACAUCAUUGAUGCAGGAUUCUGUGUCUUUUUGUACUUUAUCUAUGUAUGAUAUGAUUUGUUGUUAUUAUAAGACUAAUUCCCUAUUUAAGAUCACACACAAAGACCAUUGCUACUUAGCAUCUUAAACAGAUUCAAGAUAACUAAUUCAUUGAAAUUCCUGCAUUAUCUACUUCUUGGAGUCCAGUGGGUGGUCUAAAUAAAUGAAUGACAGUCGUACUUAAAUAAAUGUGUAUACAAGCUGUGAAUCACUAAUUAG
This is a long non-coding RNA of Hyla sarda, 569 nucleotides long. RefSeq lists it as uncharacterized. The transcript has 3 exons. The record is from RefSeq and is a predicted model, not a curated record. Lineage: Eukaryota; Metazoa; Chordata; Amphibia; Anura; Hylidae.